Marmota monax (woodchuck) is the source of this 707-nucleotide long non-coding RNA. RefSeq lists it as uncharacterized. The transcript has 3 exons. The record is from RefSeq and is a predicted model, not a curated record. Lineage: Eukaryota; Metazoa; Chordata; Mammalia; Rodentia; Sciuridae.
GAGAUUGGACCUAUGGCCUGAAACAUGCUCGGCAAGCCCUCUAGGUCCCCAGCCCUUGUUAUGCCCUAUUACACAGGCUGUCACUAAGUUUCUCAGGCUGGUCUCAAACUUUUGAUCCUCCUGCCUUGAUCUCCCAAGUGGCUGGCUGAGUGUUCUUUUAGGUGAAGAUUUCCUUUUUUAAUUGUGAAAAUAAUACACACCCUUGGAAUAUACCGAAAAGAAAGAAGCAAAAGGUGUUAUAUAACCUAAGGACACUGAGGAGCUUCCUUAUUAAUAAGCAGCCUCAGCCAGUCCCCGUGCCUACGUUUCCUCACAGAAGAGGCGCCUUGAUUCCGCACGGGGAGACACCAGAAUUGAAUGGAGUUCUUCUCUGGAAGCAGAGAUGGGAGAAAUCAAGACUCACAAAGAUGACCUGACAUUCCCAAGUAGUGACAGACCCUGGAUGCAGACCCUGAGGAAUGAAUGAAGUGAAAUGGGGCAGUGGUCAGCAUGACCCAGAGCUGAUCUAUGUGUCUCACUAAGUUGCUCAGGACCUCACUAAGGUGCUGAGGUUGACGUUGAACAUGUGGUCCUCCUGCCUCAGCCUCCUGAACCACUGGGAUUAUAGGUGUGCAUCACCACGCCUGGCUUUUCCUUCUUAUUCUGAGGUUUCCAGCUUCUUGGAUUGAGCAGUUACUGGUUCCCUUGGCUGUCCUGUCAUGCAGACG